Molecule: long non-coding RNA, 878 nt
Organism: Solanum stenotomum
Lineage: Eukaryota; Viridiplantae; Streptophyta; Magnoliopsida; Solanales; Solanaceae
Exons: 4
Source: RefSeq, a predicted model, not a curated record
UUUAGUUUUCACCUUCGGAACUCACUCGGUUUGAAGCCAAAGCUUUCGUCAUCGAUUCAAAUUCUCGGUGUCGAUUUCUUUCUCUGCAAAUAAAGAUAUUGUUAAGGGCGAAGGAUCCAAGAUUUAAGCAAAUGAGUGAGAUCGGUAAGAAGGCUAGACCAUCUACUAAGGGUGGUUCUCUACACACAAGUGGGGCUCAAAGUCAAGGAAGUAUGAGGAGGAAAUUGGAAAAGGAACUAGGAAGAUUGGUAACUUAGACUGAGGCAUUCAGGGCAACACACAUAAGAAAGAAGAAAAAUCUCGAAGAUCCAGACGUGUGGGUUGAGCCGCGAGCUGAAUUGACCUAUUUUUGGAGGAUUUACGACAAACUUAACCAGAAGAAAUCGAGGUAUGCCACUUACCCAAAAACAGGCUGAGAGAGUGUGGCUAGACUUGAUUGGUGGGCCGAGUAGAUAUGAGUAAGCCUAUGGCAUGCCACAACAAACCUUUUGUGAAUAUCAUUCUGAGUUUGAAGGCCUAAGUAGUUCCUAUGAUGAUGAAUCGAUGAAGAAAAAUUUAGCUAUAUAGCAAAAGAUAGCUGAGCUAUCUAGCCAAGUCCAAGACCCGUGGGCUAGGGAAAGGCGCAGGGACAUAGAGUAUGAGGGUCUUAAGGCUCAAUUAGAUGCAUUACUUGCUUCAGGAGGGAUUCCCCCUUGUUCCAAUGACGUCAUUUUCCCUCCUCAACCCUCUCGGUCUCAACCUACUCGAUAUCCAGUCUAUGGUCAACAAAGAAAUAUGACAGAUGAGUCUAGUAGUGAUGAAGAAGAUGAGGAUCAUGUGGCAAACACACUACCACAUUAGCGAAGUUUAGAGUUGUAAUAGAUAAUCUAAGUUCUUUA